GUUCUACUUGGAAGACUUCACUGAACACAAAUAUUAUAGUUUCAAAACAGUAAAAUGUAUUACGACUACGAUAUUGUCAGUGAAUGACAUUUUUAGCAUUUUUUACACACAAAUGGCACUUACACGGACCAUAUAAUUGUUGUGAUCCGUUUUACUGUUUUGAAACACUAAUAUUUGUGUGCAAAGUCUCCCGAGUAGAAC
This is a non-coding RNA of Pelobates cultripes (western spadefoot toad), 201 nucleotides long. The record is from the annotation of a GenBank genome assembly. Lineage: Eukaryota; Metazoa; Chordata; Amphibia; Anura; Pelobatidae.